UACUUACAGGUUUCGCAACAUCCAUCUUCAUCAGUUUUUUCAGUGCCCUGUGGUAAAAUACAGUUUUUAGGCACUCUUGCACUGUGUGAACCUUGGUACCUACCAGCUUGCAGCUCUCAUCACACUUCACUGGGGUGCACUCGACAGAAUGGAGUUUAGUGUCCGGAUCUACAGUGGAGCCACAUUUGCAAUCCUCGCACUUGUCUGAGGGAACAACUGCUCCUGGCUGCAAUAGAACACAACAGAGACACAGACAGGCUUGGGCUCUGCAGAGAGAGGAAACAUGGUGAAAUCAGCUCAAUAAAAAACACAAAUGCUAUGAUUCAUCCAAGCAGCCUUCCUAGCAAGUAGAUCUACAGAGUGCUAGCAAUGUUGUCACUCAUAACUGCUUUUGUAUUUGAUAGUAACAUAUGUAAAUAUUUCUAUGCUGUAUAUUAAAAUAUGAUAAUAUAUUUAACAUUAAUAUUUAUGAAUAUAAAAAAUGACAACUUUUUUAUUGAUGUAAAAUAUGUCAGUAUUGAACACGAGAAGCAAAUGUGAUAUGGUGUGUCCGCUGAGUGAUUAAAAUAUAAAUCACAAUGAUGCUUUAAGAGUGAGCAAAAGGCCAAUGACAAAUCCUGUUGUUGUCUGAACUCACUUGUUACCUUUUUUUUUUUUAAAAAAAAAAGGAUCUCAAUUGAAUAACAUAGCUGAAUAUCACUGAUUUGUUUGUUUUCUUCGAUUCUUUGGAACUAUUUCAAAUAAAUUCAGAUUUUGUUUGCACUGGGUCUCGCUUUGAAGAUCAUGUUUCCUGGAAUGUUUUCAGUUGCUUCCAAACAGUCGUGAUUGUUACAUCAGCAUUAGAAUGUUCAGUUAAGAUAUUCAGAAUAUGUGUGAUCUUACACCAUAAAGGGUUAACGUGCAGUAGUAGCAAAGCGCAUUGCUAAGACAUGAUUAC
Anguilla anguilla (European eel) is the source of this 937-nucleotide long non-coding RNA. RefSeq lists it as uncharacterized. NCBI's taxonomy places the organism in Eukaryota, Metazoa, Chordata, Actinopteri, Anguilliformes, Anguillidae. The transcript is spliced from 3 exons. The record is from RefSeq and is a predicted model, not a curated record.